CCCCUGGGAAGAAGGAGGAGGGAGCCCAGGCUCAGCUUGCUGAGCCCCCUCUCUCCAAGCCUGGGAUUUAAAAAAAAAAAAUUUUGGGGGGGCUGGGUUUUGCAGACGGCUGGGGGUCAGAGGGAGGAGGAAGAGACUAUAACUCAUGACUCGGAUACCUGGGCCUUGUUUUUUUUUUUGAACCCUGGAAUUCCACCAUCCCUCUCCCCCCUCCCCCCUUUUUGACCUAACGUCCUCACUCUAUUGCAAAAUGAGAGCCACAGCCCAUGUCUCACGGAGAAUUAACUUUCUGAGACAUGACGAGGGAGGGAGGCUGGGUGAGGGGGGCUCCUGGGCCCCGCCAGGCAUGCCCCCUGGUCCUCCCUCCCUGAGUGUGGUCACCGGGGGCUCCAGGUGACGGGAGCGGGCACCCUGGGGUGCCAUGGGUGCUUAGGAGGGUCUCGAAGGAUCUGGAGGGGUGGGGGGGGGCAUGGAGAUCCCAGGGGUGGGUCAGACAGGAAGUGACCCCGGUAUCAUUCCACCCCAAUCGGCGGUCCCUGUGUUACCGGUUUCUGUGAAGGGCCACGGCUUCCGAAAUCCCCCAUUUUGAGCCUCCUCUCAUCAUCUCCCCUUUUGCUCCCCCCUCCCCCACAUGGUUUAUUUCAAAGACCUUCUCGGCCAAGGGAGGGGAGAAGAGCAUCUAGGAAAAUCUUCUCUUUCCAUAGCCAGUCCUCCCGCCCCCACCCCCUCCCUUUCUUUCCUUCUGCCGGCUUUUUUUUGGCUCGGGUCCGAGUCUGGACAGUGCAAGGUCCUGGCCUGGACGGGUGUCUGCCCCGGGGGCUGACGCCCCACAGCAGAGGGCAGGCCUAAGCCCGCAGUGUGAAUUUAUCAGAAGGAGGUGUGUGAGCGGAUCAGGUCGAAAGGAGAGAAAGUGGGAGAGACGUGUCCCUUGCUGUCACUGGCUUCAGGGGGAUCAGCCAGUCAGAGCAACACCCCACACUCCCGCCCACCCCGCCAUGGACAGCUGUUUUGAGAGCGUCGUCAUUUUAUUUUAUUUAAAAAAAAACACAAAUAAAAACAGGAAUGAUUUCUCUUCUGUGGCUUCAGGCUGAGGAGCUAAGUGUCUUUUUGACUUCUGUCUUUUUGACUCUGCCCAGCGCUUGGCCAUCCGCUCAGAAACACCUGAAGUUUAAAAAACGUUCUCUCUCCCGGACCCCGGAAUGGAACAGCUUUACAAAUAGCCUUAAGCAAAAGGAUGGCAUUUCGUUACAUCUGGUUCCAUGGGAAACAUAAAAGGCAAAUGAGAAACACACCCCCAGCCCACGAGGUUCCAGACACUGGUAAUGGGUACUCCCAUCGCGAACUCUUCGGGGGGGAAAAAAUAAAACAAAAAAACGUUCUUGCACAUGUAACAUAGGAAACCUUAACUCUGCUGUGUUAGGCAAUCCUGUAACCUUCUUUGACUCUUAAAAAAAAAAGAAAUUCAUUUCUGAGAUGCUUGGUUGGGAGACUGUGACAAUAGCUCAUGAAAUUGAGUGUUAUUUUUCUUUCUUUCUUUUUUUAAAAAAAAAACCUAUGUAAAGUGCAGUCUUCUGUAUUCAUGCAUAUUGUAUAUACCUGUAUAUGUUUUCCUGAGCAGCUAAAUAACAAUAAAUAUGACGUUAAUGGUG
Pipistrellus kuhlii (Kuhl's pipistrelle) is the source of this 1649-nucleotide long non-coding RNA. RefSeq lists it as uncharacterized. The transcript has 2 exons. Lineage: Eukaryota; Metazoa; Chordata; Mammalia; Chiroptera; Vespertilionidae. The record is from RefSeq and is a predicted model, not a curated record.